UUGUAAUAAAUUUGUUUUUAUGCGAAAAAAUGUCUGGAAAAACAGUUGACUUAAAAACAAGUCAUGUGUGCUUAAUGAUUUAAAUGUUAGGGGUUUAUAUUUUAUGGUUUCGAACUGAAAAGGCUAGUCGCACCUCACACGGAACUGAGUCACUAAUGACGUAAGUGACGGUGAGUCAUCGUUACUGCGACUGAUUAUAUUCACUACGGUACGUGAGCUGGUGUAUAGAGGUGUUCGAGGUUAUAGAGCUAUCUACGUAUCUAUAGUGUCUAUGAAUUUUACAUUUUAAUUGAAACAGCGCUAAGCUUCUUCGCUCUAUCUGUCGUAAUCGCGAGCUGAUUCAUGUUUUGAUUAUUUUGAAAAUGCGCUUGUGACGCUGCAUAUAGUUACAAUUGCACGCGUUGAUUCACCACAGCUUGUAUUCUAUUUAACUGCUGAUAGUCUGUGGCGCUGAUAAAGCUGAAUUCUGACUCAUAAAAAAAAAAUAAUAAUAAUAACAGCCUUUGUCGUUGUGUCUAAUAAAACAAAGAAAACAGUGCUCCAAGGGAAUUUUGGGAAAUCCCAAUUAUUGCUAGGUGGAAAAUGUGAAAAGGUCAGACACGAUUUGUGUGGAAAAUGUAGGCGGCCCAUUUCGGAUUCCUAAAAUAUAUGGACAAUUAUUUUCCGUUUCUUUAAUAUUCCUAGGUAAUUGACCUAAUCGGCUGUCUGACGUUUCUAACGUCGGAUGACCGAUUUGACCUUACCUUUUCCGAGACCAUAAAAACCGCUGAAGGAAAAUCGUACGCAUCAUUUUGUCUGUCAGCCAAGUGAAUUUCAGAGAUUGACUUGAUUCAACACAAAUGGCAAGAGAAAUUAAAGUGAAGUGCUAUCUUUCAACGCAAUCCAACGAAGGAAUCGAGAUCCGUCGUUUUGUCUACAAAGAUGAUAAAGAUCCGUCGCUUAAGCAACUCAAAGACUGUGCAAGGAAUCUCUUCCACCAGUUACGGGGAGAACACUUUGAACUGAUGUACAUAGAUGAAGAAGAUAAUGACAAGGUAGCGGUUUCCAGCGAUUCGGAACUUAAAUUAGCAUGGACAGAAACAAAAUUUUCUGGAAAUCAAUUUCGGUGAAUGCCGAUGAAUGCAACUUUACAUUCGCCUGAAACUAAAUUUGAUGACGUUAUACGUGCGUUGUUAUCAAUCAUUUGGCUUUUAUAUCAUUUGAUUUUCCUCUCGCGUGUUGAGUGCGUGAACUCAAUUUUAUAAUUUAACAAAUUAGGAUAUAAAUGUUGUAUAAAUUGAUGUGUCACGUAGGUCGCGUUUAAAUUUGUGUAAAUUUGAAUUACUGAAUAUUUUAACUGUAUCUGUGGUAAUUUUUGCGAUGUCAACUUGUCAUCCAGUCAAAAUUGAAAAUUCCAGAAAGCCAAAAUACAAA
Molecule: long non-coding RNA, 1413 nt
Organism: Daphnia pulicaria
Lineage: Eukaryota; Metazoa; Arthropoda; Branchiopoda; Diplostraca; Daphniidae
Exons: 3
Source: RefSeq, a predicted model, not a curated record